This 481-nucleotide ribosomal RNA is filed under the name uncultured bacterium. RNAcentral's name for it is "partial 16S ribosomal RNA". It matches the Rfam family "Bacterial small subunit ribosomal RNA", at positions 28 to 507 of the family's 1533-position model. The record is from RNAcentral.
GACGAACGCUGGCGGCGUGCUUAACACAUGCAAGUCGAACGAUGAUGCUCCAGCUUGCUGGGGUGGAUUAGUGGCGAACGGGUGAGUAACACGUGAGUAACCUGCCCCCUUCUUCGGGAUAAGCUUGGGAAACUGGGUCUAAUACUGGAUAUUCUGCAAUUGUCGCAUGGUGGUUGUGGGAAAGAUUUUUUGGUGGGGGAUGGGCUCGCGGCCUAUCAGCUUGUUGGUGGGGUGAUGGCCUACCAAGGCGUCGACGGGUAGCCGGCCUGAGAGGGUGACCGGGCACACUGGGACUGAGAUACGGCCCAGACUCCUACGGGGGGCAGCAGUGGGGAAUAUUGCACAAUGGGCGCAAGCUUGAUGCAGCGACGCCGCGUGAGGGAUGACGGCUUUCGGGUUGUAAACCUCUUUCGAUGGGGAACAAGGCCAUAUUUUUGUGUGGUUGAGGGUACCUGUAUAAGAAGCGCCGGCUAACUACGUG